CUCUCCCGGCCUUUCCUUCCUGGCAAUUACGACAGGCCAUUAGAGGUACGACACCGAGGUUGUGCCGGAAGGGGCUGAGAGCAGUCCUGGCGUGUGCCGUCCGGGAGGGUGGAGCGGAGUCGAGCGGUGGAUCGAUAGCGUUAUCUUCUCGUAAGGGCAUUGCAGGGGGAGAAGCACAGAAAUCAGUCAGGUGAGGAAUCUAAAGGAAGCCAUCCCUACCGUAAACUGGGACCCUAAAAGACUGCCCUCUCAUGUUAAAGGUUCACAUUACUUGGUGUCAGAAGGGGUAUUUGAAGGAGUUGAUCCCUAAAGAACUAACGAUCCUGGGAAUCAUGCCUGGUACCCAGUUGAUCCCCUUGUGUUCUUCACUCUUUUGGUCUGAAAACCCCCAAAAGCUGCUUUCUGAUGAGGAUGACUGCAUUGACUGAAUAAGCAAAAGCAUUUUCCUGGGAUCCACAAGAAGAGAAAUCAGUACUAUAACAGGAGAUGGGGGAACAUCACAUCCCAGACGACUUCAAGGUCAACAUGAAGUUGGAUGCAGCCCUGGGAGAAGAUCUGAUUAAGGUCCUGGAGAAUAUGAGGCAGGAAUAUGAGUUUGUAACAGAGACGAAGCAUCCAGACUUGACUGCUUGGUUUAAAGAGCAGGUAAAAGAAAGAUGCCCAAACUUCUCAGAAGUCCCAUUUCCAAAGGGUCUCAAUGUCAGUGCCUCUGCUUUUGGUUUGGUCUCACGGUUGGCUGCUAUGGCCCAGGAGGUGGCCUGUCCAACAACUGUACAGGGUAGCCAAAGUGACAUCCAUGAGCCAAAGGGCACUUUCCAGACCCUAAAGACUGGCCUGCAGGCACAGUGCAACAGGACGACUCUGAUCUGGGAAAGUGCUGCAUCAGGUACUGCCUCCUCCAGAAAGCUGUGAAGCGUUCUUCUUGAUAGCUUUUCCUAAGAAGGAAAACAUCUUAAUAUCUUAAGAGCAGUUAUUUCUGGCUGAGGUAGAACAGCUGGGUUCUAACUGUCUCAAAGAAGAUUUAGGGGUUAUAGCUAUUAUCAUAUAAUCAUAGGCUCAGAAAGGGCUUGAGAGAUCUUCCCGUUGAGACCUUCUGUAUCAUUGAGAAAACCUUGACCCACAAAGGUCAGGGACUCUGAAUCUUAAAGCUCUAAAAGAGUGGAGUAGUCAUUUUAUUUCAACUUAUCUAAAAAUUUCU
Long non-coding RNA from Cervus elaphus (red deer), 1198 nucleotides. RefSeq lists it as uncharacterized. Lineage: Eukaryota; Metazoa; Chordata; Mammalia; Artiodactyla; Cervidae. The transcript has 5 exons. The record is from RefSeq and is a predicted model, not a curated record.